Molecule: long non-coding RNA, 577 nt
Organism: Harpia harpyja (harpy eagle)
Lineage: Eukaryota; Metazoa; Chordata; Aves; Accipitriformes; Accipitridae
Exons: 4
Source: RefSeq, a predicted model, not a curated record
CCGCUGCCGCCUGCGGUGGGACGUGCUGAGGGAUGAAAGCCCGCCUGGGCGCCUCAUACCAAGGCGGGACCUGAGUGAGUUUGCCGCUGCUGGGAGCCGCCCGAGACGCCUACCAGGAAAAUGACUGAGGUCAGCUCUUGAUGCUGGUGGCAUGUGGCAGUGACCUAGACAGCAGCAAGUACCCUGGGUGCAGCACACUGAUCAAAAUGGCCCUCAUCAUUUGAAGCUCAGCUCUGCUGGUGGACGUUUGCCACGUGAAGUGAAGCUAUCCUCCAGUGUGUCAGAGGAAGUGAGAAGGAAAGGAUAUACUCUCAGGAGCCAGGUUAUGAAUCAAGAGAAGAUUACUCCUUCCCGAACUUGGCAGGCAACCAAAGGAAGUUCUGAAGCAGAAGAUUCAAACAAUAAAGGGCCUGGAUAACUUGCGCAAACAUCCAUACCGCUGAUGAACUGUGCAAGAGGAGUGUUUGCUAUUUGUGUUUCGCUUUCACACCACCUACCUCGGUAGUUAACUGGUCCCCGUUACUUCCCACCCAGUGAUUCACAUCAGCAAGUACCGGCGUCCCCUGGCUGCCUUGCA